This 331-nucleotide ribosomal RNA is filed under the name uncultured eukaryote. RNAcentral describes it as "partial 18S ribosomal RNA". It matches the Rfam family "Eukaryotic small subunit ribosomal RNA", at positions 1470 to 1796 of the family's 1831-position model. The record is from RNAcentral.
CCCUUAGAUGUUCUGGGCCGCACGCGCGCUACACUGUUCGACGCAGCGAGUCUUAACCUUGACCGAAAGGUUUGGGUAAUCUUCAGCAAAGUCGAACGUGAUGGGGAUCGAUCAUUGCAAUUAUUGAUCGUGAACGAGGAAUUCCUAGUAAGUGCAAGUCAUCAGCUUGCGCUGAUUACGUCCCUGCCCUUUGUACACACCGCCCGUCGCUACUACCGAUUGAAUGGUUUAGUUAGAUCUCUGGAUUGACGCUGGCUAGGGGGCGACCCUUGGCCAGACUGUUGAGAAACUGCUCAAACUUGAUCAUUUAGAGGAAGUAAAAGUCGUAACA